AGGACGAACGCUGGCGGCGCGCUUAAUACAUGCAAGUCGAGCGGGAACCAGGGCUUCGGCUCUGGGGACAGCGGCGAACGGGUGAGUAACACGUGGGUAAUCAACCCCCGACACCGGGAUAGCCCAGGGAAACUUGGAUUAAUACCGGAUGCUCCGUCUGGCUUUAGGGCCGGCCGGAAAAGGGUAGCUUCGGCCUCCGGUCGGGGACGAGCCCGCGGCGGAUUAGCUUGUUGGUGAGGUAAAGGCUCACCAAGGCGACAAUCCGUAGCUGGUCUGAGAGGACGAUCAGCCACACUGGGACUGAGACACGGCCCAGACUCCUACGGGAGGCAGCAGUAGGGAAUCUUGCGCAAUGGGCGAAAGCCUGACGCAGCGACGCCGCGUGAGGGAAGAAGGCCUUCGGGUUGUAAACCUCUUUCAGGAGGGACGAAGCCACUCGGGUUAAUAGCCUAGAGGGUGACGGUACCUCCAGAAGAACGCCCCGGCUAACUACGUGCCAGCAGCCGC
This 507-nucleotide ribosomal RNA is filed under the name uncultured bacterium. RNAcentral's name for it is "SSU rRNA". It matches the Rfam family "Bacterial small subunit ribosomal RNA", at positions 26 to 518 of the family's 1533-position model. The record is from RNAcentral.